GAUGAACGCUGGCGGCGUGCUUAAUACAUGCAAGUCGAGCGAACAGACGAGGAGCUUGCUCCUCGGACGUUAGCCGCGGACGGGUGAGUAACACGUGUAUAACCUACCUAUAAGACUGGGAUAACCUCGGGAAACCGGAGCUAAUACCGGAUAAUAUAUUGAACCACAUGGUUCAAUAGUGAAAGACGGCUUUGGUGUCUCUUAUAGAUGGUUCCGCGCCGCAUUAGCUAGUUGGUACGGUAACGGCUUACCAAGGCAACGAUGCGUAGCCGACCUGAGAGGGUGAUCGGCCACACUGGAAGUGAGACACGGACAAGAGUCCUGCGGGAGGCAGCAGUAGGGAAUGUUACGCAGUGGGGGGGAACCUGACGGAGUAACGGCGCGUGAGUGAUGGAGGUCUUCGGAGCGGAAAACUGUGUUAUGAGGGAAAAACAAAUGUGUCAGUAACUAUGCACGUCUUGACGGUACCGGGUAAGAAAGCCACGGCUAACUACGUG
RNAcentral lists this ribosomal RNA (497 nucleotides) under uncultured bacterium. RNAcentral's name for it is "partial 16S ribosomal RNA". It matches the Rfam family "Bacterial small subunit ribosomal RNA", at positions 28 to 507 of the family's 1533-position model. The record is from RNAcentral.